UUUGACCGGAUCGAAACAACUCAGACUGAGGUUGAGUCCGAAUUAGUGCACUUGUGGAGUGUUGUCCGGUAAGUUGCCGAGGCUUAUUGUGAACGAAAGAGGAAUCGAGGUCGAUCCUGCUAAAAAAAAAAGAAAAAGAAAGAAAGAAAAAGAAAAGGAAAAAGCAAUGCAAGAAAUGCCUGAACCGAAAACAAAAAAAAGAGCAAACGGUCAGGUGGAUAAUGAUUGCCAAGGGGCGUUGAAAGAUAAAAAAAAAAUAUAAGUUGCAG
Molecule: long non-coding RNA, 269 nt
Filed under: Lathyrus oleraceus (garden pea)
Lineage: Eukaryota; Viridiplantae; Streptophyta; Magnoliopsida; Fabales; Fabaceae
Description: Pisum sativum (pea) long non-coding RNA (PSAT_LNC038730)
Source: RNAcentral